UACGGAGGGUGCAAGCAUUAAUCGGAUUUACUGGGCGUAAAGGGCGCGUAGGCGGAAGGUCAUGUCAGAUGUAAAAUCCCGGAGCUCAACUUCGGAACUGCAUUUGAAACGGGCUUUCUUGAGGGUAGGCGGAGAAAAUGGAAUUCCACGUGUAGCGGUGAAAUGCGUAGAUAUGUGGAAGAACACCUGUGGCGAAAGCGGUUUUCUAGCUUAUUCCUGACGCUGAGGCGCGAAAGCAAGGGGAGCAAAC
Molecule: ribosomal RNA, 250 nt
Filed under: uncultured bacterium
Lineage: Bacteria
Description: partial 16S ribosomal RNA
Rfam family: Bacterial small subunit ribosomal RNA
Source: RNAcentral